This 776-nucleotide ribosomal RNA is filed under the name uncultured Enterococcaceae bacterium. RNAcentral's name for it is "bacterial SSU rRNA". It matches the Rfam family "Bacterial small subunit ribosomal RNA", at positions 28 to 776 of the family's 1533-position model. The record is from RNAcentral. Lineage: Bacteria; Bacillati; Bacillota; Bacilli; Lactobacillales; Enterococcaceae.
GACGAACGCUGGCGGCGUGCCUAAUACAUGCAAGUCGAACGCUUUUUCUUUCACCGGAGCUUGCUCCACCGAAAGAAAAAGAGUGGCGAACGGGUGAGUAACACGUGGGUAACCUGCCCAUCAGAAGGGGAUAACACUUGGAAACAGGUGCUAAUACCGUAUAACAAGUAAAACCGCAUGGUUUUACUUUGAAAGGCGCUUCUGCGUCACUGAUGGAUGGACCCGCGGUGCAUUAGCUAGUUGGUGAGGUAACGGCUCACCAAGGCAACGAUGCAUAGCCGACCUGAGAGGGUGAUCGGCCACAUUGGGACUGAGACACGGCCCAAACUCCUACGGGAGGCAGCAGUAGGGAAUCUUCGGCAAUGGACGAAGGUCUGACCGAGCAACGCCGCGUGAGUGAAGAAGGUUUUCGGAUCGUAAAACUCUGUUGUUAGAGAAGAACAAGGAUGAGAGUAAAAAGUUCAUCCCUUGACGGUAUCUAACCAGAAAGCCACGGCUAACUACGUGCCAGCAGCCGCGGUAAUACGUAGGUGGCAAGCGUUGUCCGGAUUUAUUGGGCGUAAAGCGAGCGCAGGCGGUUUCUUAAGUCUGAUGUGAAAGCCCCCGGCUCAACCGGGGAGGGUCAUUGGAAACUGGGAAACUUGAGUGCAGAAGAGGAGAGUGGAAUUCCAUGUGUAGCGGUGAAAUGCGUAGAUAUAUGGAGGAACACCAGUGGCGAAGGCGGCUCUCUGGUCUGUAACUGACGCUGAGGCUCGAAAGCGUGGGGAGCAAACAGG